Long non-coding RNA from Salvia hispanica, 335 nucleotides. RefSeq lists it as uncharacterized. Lineage: Eukaryota; Viridiplantae; Streptophyta; Magnoliopsida; Lamiales; Lamiaceae. The record is from RefSeq and is a predicted model, not a curated record.
UCGACAGCCCCUUUUCCUCCCUCCAUAACCACUUUCUCCACAAAAUUCCAUUGAUGAAGCAAUUGCAUGAUUGGAUUAUUUUGGAGGAAAAAAGAAAAAAAGAUCGGCGAAAGAAGAGACGACAAACAGAAAGGUUUGGAAAUAAACGCGGUCCAGGUUAGUCGGCAUUGGAGAGUACCCAUCGAUGUUUCUUCAUGUCUGUCUUAGCGAUGCAUCCUUGGCGGUUCAUUAAGUUCUAUCAGUGAUAGAUCUUUCGAAUGGUUAGUUGUGGCAUGUUAGCACUAUAAUUGAUUCGUUUCAUUGAAGUUUCAAUACAUGCAAUUUUGUUUACUUUA